RNAcentral lists this ribosomal RNA (396 nucleotides) under uncultured bacterium. RNAcentral describes it as "bacterial SSU rRNA". It matches the Rfam family "Bacterial small subunit ribosomal RNA", at positions 355 to 768 of the family's 1533-position model. The record is from RNAcentral.
UCGGGAAUUUUGGGCAAUGGGGGAAACCCUGACCCAGCAACGCCGCGUGAAGGAUGAAGUAUUUCGGUAUGUAAACUUCGAAAGAAUAGGAAGAAUAAAUGACGGUACUAUUUAUAAGGUCCGGCUAACUACGUGCCAGCAGCCGCGGUAAUACGUAGGGACCAAGCGUUGUUCGGAUUUACUGGGCGUAAAGGGCGCGUAGGCGGCAAUUCAAGUCAUCUGUGAAAUCUCCGGGCUUAACUCGGAACGGUCAGAUGAUACUGCUUUGCUAGAGUGCAGAAGGGGCAAUCGGAAUUCUUGGUGUAGCGGUGAAAUGCGUAGAUAUCAAGAGGAACACCUGAGGUGAAGACGGGUUGCUGGGCUGACACUGACGCUGAGGCGCGAAAGCCAGGGGAG